RNAcentral lists this ribosomal RNA (253 nucleotides) under uncultured bacterium. Its description in RNAcentral is "partial 16S ribosomal RNA". It matches the Rfam family "Bacterial small subunit ribosomal RNA", at positions 524 to 776 of the family's 1533-position model. The record is from RNAcentral.
UACAGCGGUCCCAAGCGUUGUUCGGAAUUACUGGGCGUAAAGGGUGCGUAGGCGGCUUUCUAAGUUGGAUGUGAAAACUCUGGGCUCAACCCAGAGCCUGCAUCCAAAACUGGAGAGCUAGGGUUCUGGAGGGGAAAGCGGAAUUCCUGGUGUAGCGGUGAAAUGCGUAGAUAUCAGGAGGAACACCGGUGGCGAAGGCGGCUUUCUGGACAGAUACCGACGCUGAGGCACGAAAGCUAGGGGAGCAAACAGG